Molecule: ribosomal RNA, 327 nt
Filed under: uncultured bacterium
Lineage: Bacteria
Description: bacterial SSU rRNA
Rfam family: Bacterial small subunit ribosomal RNA
Source: RNAcentral
GAUGAACGCUGGCGGCGUGCUUAAUACAUGCAAGUCGAGCGAAGCACUUUAACGGAAUUCUCCGGAAGGAAGGUAAAGUGACUGAGCGGGCGUACGGGUGAAGGUACGCGUAGGUUAACCGUGCCUUAUACAGGGGGAUAACAGUUAGAAAUGGCUGCUAAUACCGCAUAAGCGCACAGGGCCGCAUGGCCCGGUGUGAAAACUCCGGUGGUAUAAGAUGGACCCGCGUCUGAUUAGCUAGUUGGUAAGGUAACGGCUUACCAAGGCAACGAUCAGUAGCCGACCUGAGAGGGUGACCGGCCACAUUGGGACUGAGACACGGCCCAA